CCUACGGGAGGCAGCAGUGGGGAAUUUUGGACAAUGGGCGCAAGCCUGAUCCAGCCAUGCCGCGUGAGUGAAGAAGGCCUUCGGGUUGUAAAGCUCUUUCGGUGGGGAAGAAAUUGCACGGGCGAAUACCCUGUGUAGAUGACGGUACCUGGAGAAGAAGCACCGGCUAACUACGUGCCAGCAGCCGCGGUAAUACGUAGGGUGCGAGCGUUAAUCGGAAUUACUGGGCGUAAAGCGUGCGCAGGCGGUUGGGUAAGUCAGAUGUGAAAUCCCCGGGCUCAACCUGGGAACUGCAUUUGAGACUGUCCAGCUGGAGUUUGGCAGAGGGGGGUGGAAUUCCACGUGUAGCAGUGAAAUGCGUAGAGAUGUGGAGGAACACCGAUGGCGAAGGCAGCCCCCUGGGCCAAUACUGACGCUCAUGCACGAAAGCGUGGGGAGCAAACAGGAUUAGAUACCCUGGUAGUCCACGCCCUAAACGAUGUCAACUAGGUGUUGGGAGGGUUAAACCUUUUAGUGCCGUAGCUAACGCGUGAAGUUGACCGCCUGGGGAGUACGGCCGCAAGGCUAAAACUCAAAGGAAUUGACGG
This 587-nucleotide ribosomal RNA is filed under the name uncultured bacterium. RNAcentral's name for it is "bacterial SSU rRNA". It matches the Rfam family "Bacterial small subunit ribosomal RNA", at positions 338 to 916 of the family's 1533-position model. The record is from RNAcentral.